Molecule: long non-coding RNA, 643 nt
Organism: Mesocricetus auratus (golden hamster)
Lineage: Eukaryota; Metazoa; Chordata; Mammalia; Rodentia; Cricetidae
Exons: 3
Source: RefSeq, a predicted model, not a curated record
GAAGGAAGUCUAUGCACAAGUCUCACAUACAUUAUGUCAAUCUCAAUUGAUCACUAUUUAUGAACAUUUCUUAGAUUGCUUUUAGAUUCUAUAAUAUGUAUAAUGCACAAUAUAUUUUUGUGUUAACAUAAGAUCAUAUGAUUUUCUGUCGAAUGGGCAAUAUGGCACAGAAUUUAACUAGUUUAACCAUUCUUUUCAGAAUAUUGGUCAUUACAUGGUACAUGAAUUAGAUACAAUAGGACUAUAUAAUUUACAAACAAAAACUCCAUUAUGAAUUUUAAUUUCUGACCUUCAUUUCAUUUACAUAUACACUUCUGUAGCUGUAUCUAAUACAAAAGAUUUUAGGUUCUAAAAAUAAGGAAUACAGCGGAAAAAUAAUAAGUUGAUUGCAAUAAGAAUAUAAUUUUUUCAGGCAUAUGCAUAGUUAAUUAGAAAAUCUUUCCAGUAAAUUUCAUUCUUUCUAACAAACAACAAGUGGAGUCAUGAUGCAGAAUUCCAUAGCAGGAGUUACAUAUGAAUAUUAGAAAGUGAUUUCUGGGGUCAACAUUUAAUUAAGAACACAUUGCUGACCAUGUGAACUGUGAGUAAAGGCACCAUCAAACAAUCCAGUAUAAAUAGCAAAGAAACUCAUUAUUCUUGCACA